RNAcentral lists this transfer RNA (73 nucleotides) under Anguilla anguilla (European eel). RNAcentral describes it as "tRNA-OTHER". Lineage: Eukaryota; Metazoa; Chordata; Actinopteri; Anguilliformes; Anguillidae. The record is from RNAcentral.
CCACCUGUGGCCUAGUGGGUAAGGUCCCAGUCUUGGGAACAGAGGGUCGGAGGUUCAAGCCCAGCUACGAGCG